RNAcentral lists this non-coding RNA (384 nucleotides) under Streptomyces afghaniensis 772. RNAcentral's name for it is "Bacterial large subunit ribosomal RNA". It matches the Rfam family "Bacterial large subunit ribosomal RNA", at positions 1943 to 2328 of the family's 2925-position model. Lineage: Bacteria; Bacillati; Actinomycetota; Actinomycetes; Kitasatosporales; Streptomycetaceae. The record is from Rfam by way of RNAcentral.
UAACCAUCCUAAGGUAGCGAAAUUCCUUGUCGGGUAAGUUCCGACCUGCACGAAUGGCGUAACGACUUCUCGACUGUCUCAACCAUAGGCCCGGUGAAAUUGCACUACGAGUAAAGAUGCUCGUUUCGCGCAGCAGGACGGAAAGACCCCGGGACCUUUACUACAGUUUGAUAUUGGUGUUCGGUUCGGCUUGUGUAGGAUAGCUGGGAGACUGUGAAGCGCUAACGCCAGUUAGUGUGGAGUCGUCGUUGAAAUCCAGUCUGGUCGUGCUGGACUGUCUAACCUGGGUCCGUGAUCCGGAUCAGGGACAGUGUCUGAUGGGUAGUUUAACUGGGGCGUUGCCUCCUAAAGAGUAACGGAGGCGCCCAAAGGUUCCCUCAGCCU